RNAcentral lists this ribosomal RNA (546 nucleotides) under uncultured Glomeromycotina. RNAcentral's name for it is "SSU rRNA". It matches the Rfam family "Eukaryotic small subunit ribosomal RNA", at positions 548 to 1098 of the family's 1831-position model. Lineage: Eukaryota; Fungi; Glomeromycota. The record is from RNAcentral.
UUGGAGGGCAAGUCUGGUGCCAGCAGCCGCGGUAAUUCCAGCUCCAAUAGCGUAUAUUAAAGUUGUUGCAGUUAAAAAGCUCGUAGUUGAAUUUCGGGAUUAGUACGCUGGUCGUGCCUUCGGUACGUACUGGUGUUACUGAUUUCUACCUUCUGACGAACCAUCAUGUCAUUAAUUUGGUGUGGUGGGGAAUCAGGACUGUUACUUUGAAAAAAUUAGAGUGUUUAAAGCAGGCUCGCGCUUGAAUACAUUAGCAUGGAAUAAUGAAAUAGGACGUUGAUCCUAUUUUGUUGGUUUCUAGGAUUGACGUAAUGAUUAAUAGGGAUAGUUGGGGGCAUUAGUAUUCAAUUGUCAGAGGUGAAAUUCUUGGAUUUAUUGAAGACUAACUACUGCGAAAGCAUUUGCCAAGGAUGUUUUCAUUAAUCAAGAACGAAAGUUAGGGGAUCGAAGACGAUCAGAUACCGUCGUAGUCUUAACCAUAAACUAUGCCGACUAGGGAUCGGAUGAUGUUAUUUUUAACGACUCAUUCGGCGCCUUACGGGAAAC